Molecule: ribosomal RNA, 253 nt
Filed under: uncultured bacterium
Lineage: Bacteria
Description: partial 16S ribosomal RNA
Rfam family: Bacterial small subunit ribosomal RNA
Source: RNAcentral
UACGAAGGGAGCUAGCGUUGUUCGGAAUUACUGGGCGUAAAGCGCGCGUAGGCGGAUCUGCAAGUCGGGGGUGAAAUCCCGAGGCUCAACCUCGGAACUGCCUUCGAUACUGCGGGUCUCGAGUCCGGGAGAGGUGAGUGGAAUUCCUAGUGUAGAGGUGAAAUUCGUAGAUAUUAGGAAGAACACCAGUGGCGAAGGCGGCUCACUGGCCCGGUACUGACGCUGAGGCGCGAAAGCGUGGGGAGCAAACAGG